RNAcentral lists this unclassified non-coding RNA (387 nucleotides) under uncultured bacterium. Its description in RNAcentral is "contains 16S-23S intergenic spacer region". The record is from RNAcentral.
UCCGGUUUGGCACCGGCAGUCCCCCGAGAGUCCUCAGCAGUUUGCACCCUGUUAGCAACACGGGGCGGGGGUUGCGCUCGUUGCGGGACUUAACCCAACAUCUCACGACACGAGCUGACGACAGCCAUGCAGCACCUGGACACCCGGCUCCCUUGCGGGCACAUCCACAUCUCUGCGGACUUCCGGGGGGUUCCAACCCAGGUAAGGUUCUUCGCGUUGCGUCGAAUUGAACCACAUGCUCCACCGCUUGUGCGGGCCCCCGUCAGUUCCUUUGAGUUUUAGCCUUGCGGCCGUACUCCCCAGGCGGGGUGCUUAAUGCGUUAGCUUCGGCACGGACGGAGUCGACACCGCCCACACCUAGCACCCAUCGUUUACGACGUGGACUAC